This 87-nucleotide transfer RNA is filed under the name Chlorokybus atmophyticus. RNAcentral's name for it is "tRNA-Ser (GGA) (tRNA-Ser-GGA-1-1)". It matches the Rfam family "tRNA". Rfam says of the family: Transfer RNA (tRNA) molecules are approximately 80 nucleotides in length. Their secondary structure includes four short double-helical elements and three loops (D, anti-codon, and T loops). Lineage: Eukaryota; Viridiplantae; Streptophyta; Chlorokybophyceae; Chlorokybales; Chlorokybaceae. The record is from RNAcentral.
GGAGAGAUGUCCGAGUGGUUGAAGGAGCAGCAUUGGAAAUGCUGUGUAGGGGAAACCUUACCGAGGGUUCGAAUCCCUCUUUCUCCG